This 2027-nucleotide long non-coding RNA is filed under the name Oncorhynchus mykiss (rainbow trout). Its description in RNAcentral is "lncRNA (ENSOMYG00000059189.1)". The record is from RNAcentral. Lineage: Eukaryota; Metazoa; Chordata; Actinopteri; Salmoniformes; Salmonidae.
AUGUCUGUUACCAUAAUUGAUGUAUUUUGUUGGUUUCAGGGUUCUGAUGGAAACCCAGGAGCUCAAGGUCCCAGAGGACUUACAGGACAACAGGGAGCCAAAGGAGACAAGGGAGAGAGUGCAGAGGGGUUGCCAGGACCGUCUGGGAAGACAGGAGAGCCUGGUGAUCGGGGUCUCCGUGGGCCUGCUGGAGGCCUUGGAGUCAAGGUAAGACAAUACAAAACAUUAGAUACAAUCUCCAUAUUUGGGUCUAGAAUUGAUGAAACAAUUUAUAUUUGGGUGGAUGGAUGACCCUGCUCUCUCUGUCUUCUCAGGGGGACCGUGGCCAGCCAGGUGAGCCUGGAUCACAAGGUGACAGGGUGAGUAAGGAUAGAGACCCUUUAACCCAUUUUGACUCCUGCUGUUAAACUGGUGUGUCUGCUGUGGGUUGUAACUGACUGUGUUGUCUUUCCAGGGGGAGAGAGGACUUGCUGGCUUGCUAGGGGAGAGGGUGAGUACAGUUCCAUGCAUUUGGUUAUGCCUCUUUUCACUGUGACCUUGUUCAUGACCAUUAAGCUUGAUAUUGUACAGCUACAUUGUAGGAAUAUCACAUGUGUUUUACAUGUUCAUGUGUUCACUAGUAUUCAUCCUCACUCACUCACUUCUACUCCUAUACUGAACCGAAUCAAUUAGUAUUAGCAUGAAGGUCACAGGUAUUGGAAAAGCCUGCUGAGAUCCGUGUCAUGAAGUGUGUUGUCCUGACCACACUGGCGCUGUGUGUUUCAGGGGGAAAGUGGACAGCCAGGCUCUACAGGGGCUCCAGGCCUGAGGGUGAGUAACUAUAUCUUACUGUACUUCUAUUGGUCUCUCUCUUCAUGACAUAUUUGGGUCAUCUUCACACUAUUGAUUCAUGUCAUUUAGUUAUAGGAUUUGAUUAUACAAGCUACAGCUUUAGAGAAUUGUGAUAUUUUAUCAGCAUGUGUGAGUCAUGUGUGAGUCAUGUGUGUACAUGUGAGUCUGUGUUGAUUUGCUUUCAGGGUUUGCCUGGCACCAGUGGAUUACCAGGGGAGAAGGUGAGGCUAACGUAGUCUGACUGACUCUUUGAUCAAUCGAAGUGAAUCUCCACAAAAUUAACAUGACUGAACAGUGUAAUGUAAUCACAACAACGACAUCAACUUAACAUAGAUGAACAUUAGAUAAAAACAUCCUAACUUCUCUGUUUCCAGGGCAGCGAGGGCGCUAAGGGAGAACCUGGCCGGAGUGUGAGUCACCUCAUAGCUACAUUAUUUAUUUUGAUGCCUCAUGGUUAGAUAGACCGAUAUGAUUUAUAUUACAUGGAUUUUGAUAGAAGCAAUUCACUAUACAUUUUGGAAGGAAGAGAUCAAGAUUGGUCAGUAUUGGUUAAUGUAAUGAUAUCUCAUCCUCUGUAUCAUUCUACACAUCCAGGGGCCAGGCUUAGGUGGGAAGAAAGGUGAACAGGCAAGUUGCCCACUUUGACUUCCUCAUACUGCAAUGAUUGAUAUGUUGAUGUACUGUACACAGUAACAAUGCUUUCUCCAUAGACUCAUUCUCUCUUCCUCCUCUCCUCCCUCAGGGUGAACCGGGUCUGCCAGGUCUGGAGGGGCCUAAGGGCCAGAAAGGCGAGCCAGCCCAGAAAGGUGAAAAAGUGAGUAGGUACCCACAGGGUACAUGAUAGAGCGCUGCAUGAAACGGGCACUGCUUGCCCUUGGGUGGUGUGUGUGUGUGUGUGUACAGGUAAUUUCAUGAUUCUCUCUAUGCAAGUGGGUAUAGAUGUUUUCUGCUGUUCAUCUCUCUUUAUGCUUCUCACUGUUUCUCAUUCUCUUAUUUCUCUCUUUCUUGCAUUCUUCCAGGGUCCCCCAGGUGCUGGCACUCCUGGCCAGGCUGGACCUAAAGGAGAGCAGGGGGAUCGGGUGAGUUCAGAUGAAGCUGUGAUCAUGUAUCAAUCUUUAUCUAAGCUACAAACCAAAUCUCUUUGAUAGAUGUGCAGAAAGCCUCAGAGGUACAGGAUAUAUUGUAAAGUAUAUAUG